Molecule: long non-coding RNA, 607 nt
Organism: Boleophthalmus pectinirostris (great blue-spotted mudskipper)
Lineage: Eukaryota; Metazoa; Chordata; Actinopteri; Gobiiformes; Gobiidae
Exons: 3
Source: RefSeq, a predicted model, not a curated record
CUGUGAUUGCAGGUGUAAUAAUGAACACCAUGUUUAAUAAAAAUAUGUAUUUGUUUAGGUGUCACCGACCAAACAUCUCCUCUUUAACUGUCUGUAUUCUUCACUAGAAGCCUCCAUCACACUGGACUGGUGAACAUAGGGUCAUGGGGGGUGAUGAAUCCAGUGUGGUGACCAAGCGCAGGGCUGUGACAGUGGCCCAUGUGGAGAGCACUCUGGCUACUCAGCCUUUAUUGAGUGGCACCACAGAAAGAAGCCAAAGGGAGGGUGGCCUCACUAUAAAGGAUAUGUGCUUUUUGUUAGUGGUAGCCGCUUUGAAAACACCUGUAAAUUGAACUCUCUGCUGGAAAAGUCACAGCUGACCAAAAGGGUGUCUGCUUCCCUCAAAAUAUAGGGACGAUUCCGAUGAUUCCACUGAUAUUCAUAGUGAGAAUGAGCCAAAGAAAGUUAAGGUGACAUUCAUUUACAUUUGUUUUACAGUAUACAGUCAUGGAUAAAAUUGUGGUUACCCCAUUAUAAUUAAUGAAAUAUCAACAAAGGUCACUAAAAUAACUUGAAACUGAGAAAAGCAAUAAUAAAUAAAAGUUUCCUGACAAAUAACCAAUGAAAA